RNAcentral lists this ribosomal RNA (305 nucleotides) under uncultured bacterium. RNAcentral's name for it is "bacterial SSU rRNA". It matches the Rfam family "Bacterial small subunit ribosomal RNA", at positions 335 to 657 of the family's 1533-position model. The record is from RNAcentral.
AUCUUACGGGGCGCAGCAGUGGGGAAUAUUGCACAACGGGGGAAACCCUGAUGCAGCGACGCCGCGUGAGUGAAGAAGUAUUUUGGUAUGUAAAGCUCUAUCAGCAGGGAAGAAGCAAGACGGUACCUGACUAAGAAGCCCCUGCUAACUACGUGCCAGCAGCCGCGGUAAUACGUAGGGGGCAAGCGUUAUCCGGAUUUACUGGGUGUAAAGGGAGCGUAGACGGUAUGGCACAUCUGAAGUGAGAGCCCAGGGCUUAACCCUGGGACUGCUGUGGAAACUGUUAGACUAGAGUGCUGGAGAGG